AUUGGAUAAACAUCUUUCAACCAUAGUAUUGACUGCAUAUUUGCAACCGAGUGAAGAGCAUAAGAAGACCAGGAUCUUCACUGAUACCUCUUUCGCCAAAGGCUGGAAUUGCCCCUCCCUUCCUGGCGGCGUGCAUCGGCCACUGCUCCUAGUAUGUGUUUUGAAAGAGCAAGCUGACUGUUGCUAUUGGUUACUGCCUGGGCCUUUGCGUUCCAUUCUCGCAACCGCGGCUAAGCUCGCGUUGUGCGGAUCCCUCACACCUUCCCCUAGGUUUGUGGCUCCCCAAGAAGCCUUGCAGCUGAGAAGUGUGUGAUGGUGGUAGGCACGGGCAAGCUUCGCCAGGGAACUUUGCAAGCGGAACAGGACCGAUGGAAAAAUAUGAGAUCCUUGGACUUGUGGGAGAAGGAAGUUAUGGAACGGUGAUGAAAUGCAGAAACAAGGAGAAUGGCAGAGUUGUUGCCAUCAAAAAAUUUUUGGAAAGUGAAGAUGAUAAAAUGGUUAAAAAAAUUGCCCUGAGAGAAAUAAAAUUUCUCAAGCAAUUAAGGCAUGAGAACUUGGUGAACUUGCUGGAAGUCUGUAAGAAGAAAAAACGAUGGUAUCUGGUGUUUGAAUUUGUAGAUCACACAAUCCUUGAUGAUCUUGAGAUGUUUCCCAAUGGCUUGGAUUAUAACAGAGUUCAAAAAUACUUAUUUCAAAUUAUAAAAGGGGUAGGAUUUUGUCAUAGUCAUAAUAUCAUACAUAGGGAUAUUAAACCUGAGAACAUAUUGGUCUCCUGUUCGGGAAUUAUCAAACUCUGUGAUUUUGGAUUUGCUCGAACUCUGGCAGCUCCUGGUGAAGUUUACACAGAUUAUGUGGCAACACGGUGGUAUCGAGCACCUGAGCUAUUAAUAGGUGAUAUCAAAUAUGGCAAGGCUGUUGAUGUUUGGGCCAUUGGCUGCCUGGUAACUGAAAUGCUUACAGGAGAGCCCCUUUUCCCUGGAGACUCUGAUAUUGACCAGUUAUACCAUAUUAUGAAAAGUCUAGGUAACUUAAUUCCAAAGCACCAGGAGUUAUUUUACAAAAAUCCUCUCUUUGCUGGAGUGAGAUUGCCUGAAAUCAAAGAGUUAGAACCUCUUGAAAAACGAUACUCAAAACUCUCCAUUGCAGUCAUAGAAUUUGCAAAGCAAUGUCUGCAAACUAAUCCAGAAAAGAGGCCAUCUUGUAAUGAACUGCUACAGUGCAACCUCUUUAACAAAGAUGGGUUUGCUGAAAGAUUUGUUCAAGAACUUAAAAUCAAGAUUCAAAAAGAAAAAGAACACGCUGUACCCAAGAAACCAAAAAUAAAUAAGAAGGACAAAGAUGAUAUAGGCGAUGAAAGAAAAAUGCUUUUAAUCCAGGAUUUAGGUGUGAAUUCAAAGCUCAGAGACUCCAAGCUGUUCAGAAUGAAAGUAUCUAAGGCUGACAUACUGAAAUCUGAAAGGUCAUCACGUAUGAGUUUCCUGUAUGAUAACAGUGCUGGGCAAUUUAAUACAAUUCCAACAUAUAUACAGGAUUCAAACAGUAGCAUAGAAUAUGUGAAGAAUCCAAGCAUGGUAAUUCCUCCCAUUGCACAGAAUUAUUCCACCACACAAUCCAGCAUCGAUGGGACUCCCACAAUAGGGACAACAUUGGCAAGCCAUAAUUACAGAAUUGAUGAGAAAAGCAAAAUCUAUUUCAAUCCUUGUAUCAGGCAAGGCAAACAAUCACCAGCAGGUCACUAUAAUGUGAACUUAUCAGCAUCGAUGUUAAAAGAGAACAAUGCUCUUCAGUCCCUCAAAAAAAAAUGGGAGUUUUCUAAAGCAGAUGUCCAUUUGCCAGAACUUAAUUACAGUCAUCUUCCUGAAGUCAAAGGUGUGGAUGUUUGGAAUUCCAGAUUUCUAAAGAAAGAAAAUAAAAUUGUUCCAGAGUCUCGCAUGCCUUCUCUUGCCACAAUAGAUCUUCAGAAUCCAAACCUGGCUCUGCAUCAGAUAUCUGGAAGCUCCUUGCAAGAUACGUCAGAAGCCACCUUCCCCAAGGGUAGAACUGCCAUUGUGAACAAUUUUGGAUCCAGGGAAGAUAAAUUCUCAAAUUAAUUCAAAGACAGAAUAGACCAGGGGUGUCAAACUGCCGGCCCGCGGGCCAGUCACAUCACAAGGAAACCGUGCCCACCACAUUGCUGGCAAUAGGGAAAAAGUUUCAAUAUGUUGCGUGAUGUCACAUGAUGUUGCAAGUUUGACAUGUCAGGAUUAGACUAAAAACCUUAAUGGUAAGUAUAGAAUAAGAGCAAGGGGCAGGGGGGAAUAUAGAAGAAGUUUGCCUUUUAUUUGCACCUUUGUAAUUGAUUUACUUUCACUUUGGUGACCACCAGAAAAGCUGCAAAGUAUGGUGUGGGAAAAAGAGGAUCAUUAGAGCAACUGACAGAAAGAAUAAUUACUCCAGAAAAUAUUACCAAAAAAAAUGAAGAUAGUGUAAUAGACCUCUAUCUAAUGCCUUUUAAAUAACCCCUUUGCUUUUACUUCAUCUCAUUUUAUUUUAUUUUGUUUUGAUCGCUUUUAUUUUUCUGCUAGAUACCUGUAUUUUUAUUAUUUUACUGUUUUUACCGGAGACUGAUAUUUUUAUCAUCUCUGCCAUGGGGAAAAGGAAGAAGAGGGAGAGUUCACAUUUUGCCUCUCUGAUUUCACCCAAGCCUACUAAACAUUUCAAAGUUGACAGAUAUCUAAAAAGUUAACAGCCAUGUGCUAUAAAUAACAAACCAUUCCUAUUUUUCUUGAUAGGGUCUGAAGCACAUAUGACCUCUUGGAAUGUGAUCUACAAGCAGAGAUUAAAACUCCCAAUUUUUAUAUUUUUCUGCCUCUAUUGCUAAAGAAACUUUCCCUUCUCAGAUCACAGUCUUUUGUCUUUAUGCAAUAAGGGGAUGAGGACUUAAAAGAACAAAAUAUUACUGACAAUGCUUACUGACAGCACAAACAUUCUUGUCAAUUUUUUAGCUUCUGACCAUAGUUAACAACAAAGUAAAUGCCCUAAAAGAGACUUUUAUUAAGCUAAUUAAACACUGCUGCUGUGUCAGUUAAAACAAACUCAUGCAGAAACAAAUGUGAUUCAAAAUCAGAUAAUAUUGGUGGAAAGGCAAUCUUAAUUUAGAACCUUAAAAGAGAAUGAGGAAUAAGCAAAGAGAUUUAGCCCUACUAAUAACUCAUCUUGGCAAUAAGAGUGCUUCUACUUUAAAGUUUAAUUGUAGCAACAGCUGGUAACUCCAAGAAUCUUCUAUGCCAUUGCCCUUGAAAAGAGAGAGCUUGAAUAACAAUCUGUAACUCCCACAGCAAGUCAGUUCUCUGAAAGAUAAGCUUGAUUAACUCUGCCAGAUACCUGAACAAGGGUAUUAUAAAAAGGCUUGAUGAUCUGUGGAAAUUAUUGGCAACAACAUGUAAAGCUGCUAAACCUUUAAUAGAGCUGAUUAUCCACAAAUGCCCAAGAAAACAAUGACUAUUUUGAGAAACCAUUUGCUGGGUCAUCCCCUAUUUCAGCAUGGAAUAUAUACAUGGAAGAGAAAAAUAAAUAAUCCUUGAUAGUAAUUUCCAUCUUAUCUCUCUAUUCCCUGCUAAAACAGAAAAUGUAAGUAACAGAAAUAAAACAGGUUGACAGACGAGAGAAAGUAAAAUGCAUCCCAAAUCUUGGUGAGAUUCUAAUCAAAGAUGGUCUUGGAGCAGGAUUGAAUUAUAAGGAGGUCAUCCUUAGCUCAAUGCUUCCAAAAAUAGAUAUGAGCGCAAAAUCACAAGCUAGGCUAGGGUUAUAGCUCAUGAAGCAGUUGAAAAUGUGCUAAGAAGACAAUCUGAGACAAGAAAAUCAUCCUUAUCUAGAGCACUCCAACAGACUUGACUGACUACAGAUAAGAAGAUCCUUUUACGAGGCCUUGGAUCCUGGACUAUUCGUACAAGGAAAUAUGAGACUAAAGGGUGGGCAUCAGGAGGACUGUCUACACUUGCCAAGGCACAGCUGGGCUUGCAAGGACAGGAAUUAGUUUUGGAAUUAGGAAUUAGAUGACUCUCUCCACUAUUUAGAUACAAAAUUUGCAUAUAAAUUCUCUAAACUGGUUCUACUGAAUACACAUUUACCACCAUACACACUGUCCCACUAUUCCCUUAAUAGUUGGGUGAACCUGCAAAAGCUAAAGCUAAAUUCAAAUCACCCUAAAGCUACUGUAAUUCUAGCAGGAAACUUUAAUGCCAAGGUGGGGUCCUUCUUACAAGAGUUUGUACACCUGAGUGUUAUCCAAGGAUUAUCUCAUAAAUAAUCCUCCCUGAUUCUAGAGAUCCCAAAAGAAAUACCACAGGCUCA
RNA transcript from Crotalus tigris (Tiger rattlesnake), 4332 nucleotides. It is a transcript of the gene named cyclin dependent kinase like 2, with no coding region annotated. The transcript has 15 exons. NCBI's taxonomy places the organism in Eukaryota, Metazoa, Chordata, Lepidosauria, Squamata, Viperidae. The record is from RefSeq and is a predicted model, not a curated record.